RNAcentral lists this ribosomal RNA (756 nucleotides) under uncultured Myroides sp. RNAcentral's name for it is "bacterial SSU rRNA". It matches the Rfam family "Bacterial small subunit ribosomal RNA", at positions 44 to 799 of the family's 1533-position model. Lineage: Bacteria; Pseudomonadati; Bacteroidota; Flavobacteriia; Flavobacteriales; Flavobacteriaceae. The record is from RNAcentral.
AGGCCUAAUACAUGCAAGUCGAGGGGUAUAGAUAGCUUGCUAUUUAGAGACCGGCGCACGGGUGAGUAACGCGUAUGCAACCUACCUUCUACAGGGGAAUAGCCCGAAGAAAUUCGGAUUAAUGCUCCAUGGUUUAAUUGGAUGGCAUCAUUUGAUUAAUAAAGAUUUAUCGGUAGAAGAUGGGCAUGCGUAUCAUUAGCUAGUUGGUGUGGUAACGGCAUACCAAGGCGACGAUGAUUAGGGGUCCUGAGAGGGAGAUCCCCCACACUGGUACUGAGACACGGACCAGACUCCUACGGGAGGCAGCAGUGAGGAAUAUUGGUCAAUGGAGGCAACUCUGAACCAGCCAUGCCGCGUGCAGGAUGACGGUCCUAUGGAUUGUAAACUGCUUUUGUACAGGAAGAAACCUCGCUACGUGUAGCGAUUUGACGGUACUGUAAGAAUAAGGAUCGGCUAACUCCGUGCCAGCAGCCGCGGUAAUACGGAGGAUCCGAGCGUUAUCCGGAAUUAUUGGGUUUAAAGGGUUCGUAGGCGGUCAGAUAAGUCAGUGGUGAAAUUUCUUAGCUUAACUAAGACCCGGCCAUUGAUACUGUUUGACUUGAAUAGUAUGGAAGUAACUAGAAUAUGUAGUGUAGCGGUGAAAUGCUUAGAUAUUACAUGGAAUACCAAUUGCGAAGGCAGGUUACUACGUACUUAUUGACGCUGAUGAACGAAAGCGUGGGGAGCGAACAGGAUUAGAUACCCUGGUAGUCCACG